RNAcentral lists this ribosomal RNA (245 nucleotides) under uncultured Peptostreptococcus sp. RNAcentral describes it as "partial 16S ribosomal RNA". It matches the Rfam family "Bacterial small subunit ribosomal RNA", at positions 111 to 354 of the family's 1533-position model. The record is from RNAcentral. Lineage: Bacteria; Bacillati; Bacillota; Clostridia; Peptostreptococcales; Peptostreptococcaceae.
UAACGCGUGGGUAACCUGCCCUAUACACAUGGAUAACAUACUGAAAAGUUUACUAAUACAUGAUAAUAUAUAUUUGCGGCAUCGUAGAUAUAUCAAAGUGUUAGCGGUAUAGGAUGGACCCGCGUCUGAUUAGCUAGUUGGUGAGAUAACUGCCCACCAAGGCGACGAUCAGUAGCCGACCUGAGAGGGUGAUCGGCCACAUUGGAACUGAGACACGGUCCAAACUCCUACGGGAGGCAGCAGGA